UAGUCUGUUUUGAGAAGAUAGCGAUAGGUCCCAAAGGGUUGCAAAGCUUAAAGCUUCUCUCUCUCUCUCUCUCUCUAUAUCUUGCAGAGGAGAAAAAGCUCUUUCAUGGCGAUCUUGGAGUACGAGCUUCGCUCAGAACUCGGUUGAUUUCUUUCUAGAUACAUGCUUACUUCUACGUUUUCGGUGUUAGGUGAAGAAAUGCGCGAUCUCUGAGUCUGAUAGAGAUUAAUUUCUUUCGAUUUUGAAUUUUGUUCGUCAAUUUAGGUUGUAGUGGACGCAAUUGAAAGUUGAAGACAUCAGUUUAAAAAAGCUUCGAGAUUUUACAAUUCAGUUUCGGUGAUUGUAAAGCUGCUUGUCUGUGUUUUGGGAUCUCCAGCUGUGGUACUUAAAGAAAUUAAGAGGGAGUUGGAAACGGAGAUUUGAGUUUGAUGCUUUGUAUUUAGUCGAGGAAGUUAUUAUAUUAUCUAGCUUUGGAUGCGCUCACAGGAGUCUGCUACUGGAAAAGUUCUGGUUUAGCUGCUCUCAGGGGUGAUAGAUUUCUGUCUGGUUUGUGAAAUGCGAAUGUUUGAGCGAAGAAAUGAAGUCUAUUACCAUGGAUUAAUGGUUAUGGGGGGUAAAAUGGUUGCGGAAAGAAUCUUCUGAUCUCGGGAUUGGGUAGAAUGGCACAGUGGAGCAGACUUGGGACGAAGCUUAAGCUAUCGACGUCUUCAAGUCAGUUCUGCUGAAUCUAGAGUUUUUUCUUUUUUUGAAAAUGAAGCUUUCGACUACGGGGAUGUGUCAGCCGGGUCAAGAAGGCGGGGAGAAGAGGUGCUUGAAUUCGGAGCUUUGGCAUGCUUGUGCUGGUCCUCUUGUGUCCCUACCAGCAGUCGGCAGCCGUGUUGUCUACUUUCCUCAGGGUCACAGUGAACAGGUUGCUGCUUCGACUAACAAAGAAGUAGAUGGGCAUAUACCCAAUUAUCCGAGCUUGCCUCCACAACUGAUCUGUCAACUCCAUGAUGUUACGAUGCAUGCAGACGUGGAAACAGAUGAAGUUUACGCUCAGAUGACAUUGCAGCCCUUGACACCGCAAGAGCAGAAGGAUGCUUAUCUUCCUGCGGACCUGGGAAUUUCAAGCAAGCAGCCAACCAAUUAUUUCUGCAAGACGUUAACUGCAAGUGAUACCAGUACUCAUGGAGGGUUCUCCGUUCCUCGUCGUGCUGCUGAGAAAGUGUUUCCUCCUCUGGACUUCUCCCAGCAGCCCCCAGCUCAAGAACUUGUUGCAAGAGAUCUUCAUGAUGUUGAGUGGAAAUUUAGACAUAUUUUUCGUGGACAGCCCAAAAGGCAUCUUCUGACCACAGGAUGGAGUGUGUUCGUUAGUGCCAAGAGACUUGUUGCUGGAGAUUCUGUUCUGUUUAUUUGGAAUGAAAGGAAUCAGCUGUUACUGGGGAUUCGCCGUGCCAAUCGACCACAAACGGUGAUGCCUUCAUCUGUUUUAUCAAGCGAUAGCAUGCAUAUAGGUCUCCUUGCUGCUGCAGCACAUGCUGCUGCCACUAAUAGCCGUUUCACGAUUUUUUAUAAUCCAAGGGCAAGUCCUUCAGAGUUUGUUAUACCCCUCUCCAAGUAUGCAAAAGCGGUGUUUCAUACUCGUGUAUCUGUUGGGAUGCGUUUCCGUAUGCUUUUUGAGACUGAAGAAUCUAGUGUCCGCCGGUACAUGGGCACAAUUACUGGCAUAAGUGAUCUUGAUCAUGUUCGUUGGCCAAAUUCUCAUUGGCGAUCUGUCAAGGUUGGUUGGGAUGAAUCAACUGCUGGUGAGAGACAGCCAAGAGUUUCUUUGUGGGAGAUAGAGCCUUUAACCACAUUUCCCAUGUACCCAUCAUUAUUUCCUGUAAGGCUUAAACGACCUUGGCAUCCUGGGAUUUCUUCUUUACAUGAUAAUACAGAUGAUGCAGCAAAUGCCCUUAUGUGGCUGAGAGGGAAUAAUGGAGAGCUGGGUAUUCAAUCCUUGAAUUUUCAGGAACUUGGUGUGAGCACCUUGAUGCAGCAGAGGCUUGAUCUUCCAUUUCUGAGAAAUGAACAUGAUCCACAGUACCAAACCAUGGCAGCUGCAGCCUUGCAGGAUAUAAGAAGUGAUCCUCUGAAACAGCAAGUUCUGCAAUUUCAGCAGCCUUUGCCUUUCCUAUUCCAGCAACAGUCAAGUGGGCCUAAUCAACUUUUGCAGCUGCAAAUGAUGCAACAGUCAUUUUCUCAGCAGACUGUGCAAGCACAAGCCCAAAAUUUAGCUAACCAGCAUCGGCACCUUGUGCAGCCACAACUGCUACAGUCACUGAAUGAUCAGCAGAAGCAGCAGCAGGCGCAACAGCAGCAACAAACAUAUCAAGAAGCUUUUCAGAUUGCAAAUGAUCACCUCCAGCAGCAACAAACAACUUUUUCUGCUCCUUUAUGCCAGAAAACAGAUUUUACAGAUUCAAACAUAACCUUCUCAGCUGCAAUAAACCCUGCAUAUAUGCAAAGUAUGAUGGGCUCACUUUGUCCUGAAGGCAGUGGCAAUCUUCUGAAUUUCUCAAGAAUUGGUCAGUCCGUGCUGAGUGAGCAGCAACAACAGCAGCCUUGGGGACCAAAGUUUUCUUGUUCACAAGCCAAUGCAUUUGGUAACUCAGUAUCUGACCCACAGUUCACUGGCAAAGAUGGCUCUGUGGAGGCGGACAAUUGUAGUGGAGAUGCCCAAAACCACACUCUUUUUGGUGUUAAUAUUGAUUCAUCUGAGAUCCUGCUUCCCACUUCAGUGCCCAAUCUAGUUACUUCUUCAAUUGAUGCUGAUGUGUCCUCCAUUCCCUUUGGAGCUUCUGGCCUUCAGAGUCCUUUGUAUGGCUGCAUGGAUGAUUCUUCUGAUUUUCUGCAUGGUUCGGGGCAAGUUGAUCCACCAACCAAAACAUUUGUGAAGGUCUACAAGUCAGGAUCAGUUGGGAGGUCACUGGACAUCACCCGCUUCAGCAGCUAUCAUGAGUUGAUAGAGGAGCUUGGUCAGAUGUUUGGAAUUGAGGGCAAACUUGAUGGCCCUCUAAGAUCAGGCUGGCAGCUUGUAUUCGUUGACAGGGAGAAUGAUGUUCUUCUCCUUGGAGACGACCCUUGGGAGUCAUUUGUAAAUAAUGUUUGGUAUAUCAAGAUACUUUCUCCCGAGGAUGUGAAGAAACUAGGGAAACAAGGGUCUGGGAUACUUCCCGUGAGCUCUCUUGACUACUGAAAAUGAGACAAGAUGGUAUGACCUAGCACAUCAUUUGGUUCUUGCUUCGAUGAUUUCUAGUGAUUUUCCAGAACAAGCUGGCAUUCACUGCUUGACUUGGAAAUAAUUGUAUGCGAUGAAGCUUCAGAUUACGAACUCUUCGAACAGGUGUUUUGGUUUCCUAUGUAAUAUAGAUAUGCUCACAUGCAUGCUUACAUAAACUUCGUACCUCAUUCCCCACCAAUUUGUUAGUGUUUCAGUAUUGUAUUUGUUCAUCAGUCUGAAAACUCAAACCACUCAUUUAGUAGCUAUGAAUGUUUAUAAAUACUGAAUUACGUUGUCUAGUUAUUAUUAUAUAUGGAAGUCCUUAAACCCCA
Macadamia integrifolia is the source of this 3576-nucleotide RNA transcript. It is a transcript of the gene named auxin response factor 12, with no coding region annotated. The transcript has 15 exons. Lineage: Eukaryota; Viridiplantae; Streptophyta; Magnoliopsida; Proteales; Proteaceae. The record is from RefSeq and is a predicted model, not a curated record.